GUUUCCGUAGUGUAGUGGUUAUCACGUUCGCCGAGCGUGCGAAAGGUCCUUGGAUCGAUGCCGAGCGGAAACA
This is a non-coding RNA of Gymnothorax javanicus (giant moray), 73 nucleotides long. The record is from the annotation of a GenBank genome assembly. Lineage: Eukaryota; Metazoa; Chordata; Actinopteri; Anguilliformes; Muraenidae.